AUGGCGUCGCCGUUGUCUGAGAUUCCCGAGGACGUGCUACACCUCAUCAUUGACGGCCUCGUUUCCUCCACUGAUCGGCGUGGCCUCGUCUCCACGGCGUGGUCUGGACUACGCCGGCUCCUCCACUUCUCCGAUGGCUUCGAGGCCGCGCGCCAUGCCCGGCACUCGGCCUCUGCCGAUCGCGCUCGCUUCUGCACCGUGUGUCGUUCGUGGCACUUGGCUAUGAGCAGGCACGUUCCAGCUCCAAGGCAGAUCCCCUGGAUUGUCAUGUCCGAUGGCUCGUUCCUCACACCUUCGGACGCCGGCGGCACCUCGCCCGCGCGCAUCCCCUCCUUGCCCAGGAACGCGAGAUGCGUAGCCUCGGCUGAUAGUUGGCUCCUCCUCGACCGCACGGAUGUCAGGAAGAAGACGCAUAGCUACUUCUUGCAUGAUCCCUUCACCAACACGACUGUGCCGCUCCCAGAGCUUGACGCUGUGAUCGGCCAUGCUUCUGAGCUUUUAGGGGUCCACAAACUACGGAAAGGUGUGUGGUUGCCUAAGCCACAAACUGCUCCCUUCAUCUACAUCGUCGACACUGCAUUUCUUGGAGACAAGCUAUAUGGAAUCACUCACGCCGAGGAUCUUGUCUCUUUUGAUGAGGUCGCCAAUAAUGAGGAACAGAGCAAAGAGGACACCAUAGAGCAACGCCGGAAGAAAACCGGCGAUGACAUGAUUCUUGAAGGCGUUACUGCUUGGUCGAAUGAUGAGGAUGAAGUUAGGGACCAUUGGUACUUAGUCGAGUCAUGUGGAAAACUAUUAAUGGUGAUACGACAAGUUCGAGUGCCCUCCUAUAAUAUCAGCUUCACUCUCAAGGUAGAGGUUUAUGAGGCGGAUGCCUGCAAAGGUGCCCACUGCUGGGUGCCGAUUGUUGGUGGGCUAGGCAGCCAAACGCUUUUCAUCAGCAGAUUCUUCUGCAAGUCUAUUUCAACUUGUGAUGAGGCGGACCAAGAUGCUAUUCAUUUUAUCGACACGGGGGAGAAAUACAACAUGAAGUCACAAACUAUGAGCAAGACACGGAGGGACAUUGAAUACUUUGAGUCCAUGUGGAUCUUUUCUCCCGAGCUAGUGGUUUAA
RNAcentral lists this ribosomal RNA (1113 nucleotides) under Triticum aestivum (bread wheat). RNAcentral describes it as "partial small subunit ribosomal RNA". The record is from RNAcentral. Lineage: Eukaryota; Viridiplantae; Streptophyta; Magnoliopsida; Poales; Poaceae.